Molecule: microRNA precursor, 58 nt
Filed under: Daphnia pulex (common water flea)
Lineage: Eukaryota; Metazoa; Arthropoda; Branchiopoda; Diplostraca; Daphniidae
Description: Dpu-Mir-193-P1_pre stem-loop
Source: RNAcentral
CGGGAUUUAGUGGAUCAGCUGUUGAUUUAUGUAAAAUACUGGCCUGCUAAGUCCCAAA